UCGGGAAAUGCAGACUCCCGGCCAGACGGUGUCCCGUCCAAGCUCUGC
This 48-nucleotide non-coding RNA is filed under the name unclassified sequences. RNAcentral describes it as "chromate-resist RNA". It matches the Rfam family "chrB-b RNA". The record is from RNAcentral.